This 253-nucleotide ribosomal RNA is filed under the name uncultured bacterium. Its description in RNAcentral is "partial 16S ribosomal RNA". It matches the Rfam family "Bacterial small subunit ribosomal RNA", at positions 524 to 776 of the family's 1533-position model. The record is from RNAcentral.
UACGGAAGGGGCUAGCGAUGUUCGGAAUCACUGGGCGUAAAGCGCGUGUAGGCGGCUUGGCAAGUCGGAUGUGAAAUCCCGAGGCUCAACCUCGGAACUGCACUCGAAACUGCCUGGCUCGAGUCCCGGAGAGGGUGGCGGAAUUCCCGGUGUAGGGGUGAAAUCCGUAGAUAUCGGGAGGAACACCAGUGGCGAAGGCGGCCACCUGGAAGGUAACUGACGCUGAGACGCGAAAGCGUGGGGAGCAAACAGG